RNAcentral lists this long non-coding RNA (598 nucleotides) under Amborella trichopoda. RNAcentral describes it as "long non-coding RNA (ATRI_LNC001257)". The record is from RNAcentral. Lineage: Eukaryota; Viridiplantae; Streptophyta; Magnoliopsida; Amborellales; Amborellaceae.
UACUGAAAUCCAAUUUUUUCUCAUGAAAUCUAUUUAUUUUUCCCUCAAAACUUGAAAAUGUUGAUCCCUCAAAACUUGAAAAUGUUGAAAAUUGAUAGAAAAAAAAAUAGUGUUACGAGAUGCAUCAUUUUCAAAACUUCUAAAUCCAUUUUUUUCUUAUGAAAUCCAUUUUUUCCCUCAUGUGAUGUUGAGACGAUCAAUUUGCAGCCGCCCAUUUCUCAGCUAUCUCUCUCUCUCUCUCAACGCAUCUGUCUCUGUCUCUCGCCCUCUCAUAUGUAGCAGAAAAUGGUGGAGAGAGCCAUGCCUAGGGUGCCAGGACUCAUAACUUCUCUCUCCUCUACACCCCCAGCCUAUUCUCUCUCUUUCCUACCCAAGCGUCUUUUAUGUCUCUCUGCAAGCCGAGCCCCUCUGCAACCCCAAUGCUGUACUCUCUCUCUUGCUUAAGCCGUCGAAGACAUCUCAAGUACGUCCAGUGAUUCUACUUUUCAUCUUUGUUUUUUACGUUCAUUUACUUUUUGCGAUCUUACUCGUCUACAUUUACAACAAAAAAAGUACGAACAAAAUAUGGGAGUGAACAAGGGGGAUUUAUAGUUUGGAA